This 386-nucleotide ribosomal RNA is filed under the name uncultured bacterium. RNAcentral's name for it is "bacterial SSU rRNA". It matches the Rfam family "Bacterial small subunit ribosomal RNA", at positions 30 to 416 of the family's 1533-position model. The record is from RNAcentral.
AUUGAACGCUGGCGGCAUGCCUUACACAUGCAAGUCGAACGGCAGCACGGGAGCAAUCCUGGUGGCGAGUGGCGAACGGGUGAGUAAUAUAUCGGAACGUGCCCAGUCGUGGGGAUAACGUAGCGAAAGCUACGCUAAUACCGCAUACGAUCUAUGGAUGAAAGCGGGGGAUCGCAAGACCUCGCGCGAUUGGAGCGGCCGAUAUCAGAGUAGGUAGUUGGUGAGGUAAAGGCUCACCAAGCCGACGAUCUGUAGCUGGUCUGAGAGGACGACCAGCCACACUGGGACUGAGACACGGCCCAGACUCCUACGGGAGGCAGCAGUGGGGAAUUUUUGGACAAUGGGCGCAAGCCUGAUCCAGCAAUGCCGCGUGCAGGAUGAAGGCC